This is a long non-coding RNA of Astatotilapia calliptera (eastern happy), 811 nucleotides long. Lineage: Eukaryota; Metazoa; Chordata; Actinopteri; Cichliformes; Cichlidae. The record is from Ensembl.
CCUCUAUAUCAUAGAGAGGGCUGCCUUUACACCACCACCAUCUUGGAGCUGUUCUGCUGGAUUACUCGGGUACUAAGUAGAAAGUAGUAGUACAUGUAACAACAACAACACAGCAGGACCUAGUUCAGCCUUUAAACCAGCAAGGCAUGAUUGCAGAUUGGCGCUCAGGUGCGUCCACCUCCCCUGCUUUCCAACCACGGUCCACCAACUACACCAACCUCCGAUAACUAUGCAGUGCUCUCCUUUAAGUUUUAUUUUGCCCCUCACCCCCCAACCAGUCGCGGCAGAUGACUGCCCCUUCUUGAACCUGGUUCUGCCUCAGGUUUCUUCCUGUGAAAGGGAGUUUUUCCUGGCCACCGUUGCCCAGUGCUUGUUCAUAGGGGAUCAUUUGAUUGUUGGGGUUUAUUCUUUAAAAUGUCAUUUUAUUUAAAUUAUUUCAGGUGAGGGGUUCACUUGAUAGGGAGCACAAAAAGCUGCAAAUAAAAACAAAUUAAAAAAAAGGUGUAUUUAGCUGCAAAUCAAAAAUAAAAAAAAACAAAUAUUAAAUUUCCCUACUGCUUCGUUUAUUUACUUAAAAGAACAGCUUUAAAUUUUGUGUGAUAGUGUCAUGGCCCUUGGUCAAGUGAUCCAGGGUUUAUCUUUUGGACUGUGUGAAUCUGGUUUAAUUUGUGUCCUUUGAUUUAAUAGUAUUCAUGGUUCUGUUUCUCAUCUCCCAUGUGUCCAUGUUGCUUUUGUAUGUCGUGUCUCUUUAGCCGCCGCAGCAGUGGGCGGGCACAUCCACAUCAUCCACGUCGCCGCCAACAUACGUUGU